UUUUCGCGCCUAUGCGCACCGAAACGCCCGAUUGCUCCAGAACUUCACCAAACUUCACCGGGACCAUUCAAACAGCUCUCCAACCAAAUGUACACCGUAACUUCAUGAUUUUAGAAGUCCGGUACCUUACAUUCACUUUUGGUAAAAUAAACAAACCCUUAAUGCAGUAUAACCAACAAUACUUUCGCAUAUUUCUAGAUGCCAUUUAGGGCCUGUUUGGUUCACGUUAUGUAAUAUCACAGGUUAUCUCAACAUAACUAUCUGAUAUUUGUUAUUCAUAUUGCUAUUAAUAUUGUUUUAUUUCAAGUAUGUAAUGUCGGAUUUCUACGUA
RNAcentral lists this long non-coding RNA (331 nucleotides) under Ananas comosus (pineapple). RNAcentral describes it as "long non-coding RNA (ACOM_LNC010156)". The record is from RNAcentral. Lineage: Eukaryota; Viridiplantae; Streptophyta; Magnoliopsida; Poales; Bromeliaceae.